ACAAUGAUGGUUCAGUGGUAGAGUUCUCACCUUCCAUGUGGAAGACUCUGGUUCGAUUCCCAGCCAAUGUA
RNAcentral lists this transfer RNA (71 nucleotides) under Loxodonta africana (African savanna elephant). It matches the Rfam family "tRNA". Rfam says of the family: Transfer RNA (tRNA) molecules are approximately 80 nucleotides in length. The record is from Rfam by way of RNAcentral. Lineage: Eukaryota; Metazoa; Chordata; Mammalia; Proboscidea; Elephantidae.